GACGAACGCUGGCGGCGUGCUUAACACAUGCAAGUCGAACGGAAAGGCCCUGCUUUUGUGGGGUGCUCGAGUGGCGAACGGGUGAGUAACACGUGUGUAACCUGCCCUUGACUUUGGGAGAGCUUCAUGAAACUGGGGCUAAUGCCGGAUAGGAGCUCCCGCUGCAUGGUGGGGGUUGGAAAGAUUCGGCGGUUGGGGAUGGACUCGCGGCUUAUCAGCUUGUUGGUGGGGUAGUGGCUUACCAAGGCUUUGAGGGGUAGCCGACCUGAGAGGGUCACCGGCCACAUUGGGACGGAGAUGCGGCCCAGACUCGUACGGGAGGCAAGAGUGGGGAAUAUUGCACAAUGGGAGGAAGCCUGAUGCAGCAACGCCGCGUGGGGGGUGACGGCCUUCGGGUUGUAAACCGCUUUCGCCUGUGACGAGGCGAGAGUGACGGUAAUGGGUAAAGAAGCACCGGCUAACUACGUG
RNAcentral lists this ribosomal RNA (468 nucleotides) under uncultured bacterium. Its description in RNAcentral is "partial 16S ribosomal RNA". It matches the Rfam family "Bacterial small subunit ribosomal RNA", at positions 28 to 507 of the family's 1533-position model. The record is from RNAcentral.